UGAUGGUCUGAACCGAUCCCUUACCGAAAGAUUUGGUGCCGAUGAUCAGCGCGCGGCGGUGAUCCUUCAGGGCGCCAGCCACGAUUUCGGAUGCGGAUGCGGAACCGCCAUUGAUCAGAACCACGAUCGGCAGACCUUCUAGAUCAUCACCGGUGCUCGCAUUGUAGCGCUGGCUGUCCUCUUCGCGGCGGCCACGGGUCGAGACAAUCUCGCCCUUGUCGAGGAAGAUAUCUGAGACCGAAAUCGCCUGAUCGAGCAGGCCACCGGGAUUAUUGCGC
RNAcentral lists this non-coding RNA (278 nucleotides) under marine eukaryotic metagenome. The record is from RNAcentral.